GGGGGAGGACGGCCUUCCUGCUUAUCAGCCUAGCGGGGACGGCCCUG
RNAcentral lists this non-coding RNA (47 nucleotides) under Bradyrhizobium manausense. RNAcentral describes it as "Guanidine-II sequence". It matches the Rfam family "Guanidine-II riboswitch aptamer (mini-ykkC)". From Rfam's summary of the family: Simpler in structure and has fewer highly conserved nucleotide positions than the ykkC-yxkD leader. Despite this each of its two stem-loop structures directly bind free guanidine. Lineage: Bacteria; Pseudomonadati; Pseudomonadota; Alphaproteobacteria; Hyphomicrobiales; Nitrobacteraceae. The record is from RNAcentral.